RNAcentral lists this ribosomal RNA (433 nucleotides) under uncultured bacterium. RNAcentral describes it as "partial 16S ribosomal RNA". It matches the Rfam family "Bacterial small subunit ribosomal RNA", at positions 29 to 507 of the family's 1533-position model. The record is from RNAcentral.
AACGAACGCUGGCGGCAUGCCUAACACAUGCAAGUCGAACGAGACCAUCGGGACUUGUGGCGCACGGGUGCGUCACGCGUGGGAACAUGCACUUAGGUUCGGAAUACCUCUCCGAAUGGGGUGCCAAUACCGGAUAAUGUCUACGGACCAAAGAUUUAUCGACUUUGUUUGGGCCAGCGUUGGAUUAGCUAGUUGGUAGGGUAAUAGACUACCAAGGCGUCGAUGCAUAGCUGGUUUGAGAGGAUGAUCAGCCACACUGGGACUAAGACACGGCCCAGACUCCUACGGGAGGCAGCAGUGGGGAAUAUUGGACCAUGGGCGGAAGCCUGAUCCAGCAAUGCCGCGUGAAUGAUGAAGGCCUUGGGGAUGUAAAGCUCUUUUACCCGGGAAGAUAAUGACAGUACCGGAUGAAUAAGCCCCGGCUAACUCCGUG